GGAGAGGUGACAGAGUGGCCGAUUGUGCCGGUCUCGAAAACCGGUGUACCGGAAACGGUACCGGGGGUUCGAAUCCCCCCCUCUCCG
RNAcentral lists this transfer RNA (87 nucleotides) under Planctomycetaceae bacterium. RNAcentral's name for it is "tRNA-Ser". It matches the Rfam family "tRNA". From Rfam's summary of the family: Transfer RNA (tRNA) molecules are approximately 80 nucleotides in length. Their secondary structure includes four short double-helical elements and three loops (D, anti-codon, and T loops). Further hydrogen bonds mediate the characteristic L-shaped molecular structure. tRNAs have two regions of fundamental functional importance: the anti-codon, which is responsible for specific mRNA codon recognition, and the 3' end, to which the tRNAs corresponding amino acid is attached (by aminoacyl-tRNA synthetases). tRNAs cope with the degeneracy of the genetic code in two manners: having more than one tRNA (with a specific anti-codon) for a particular amino acid; and 'wobble' base-pairing, i.e. permitting non-standard base-pairing at the 3rd anti-codon position. Lineage: Bacteria; Pseudomonadati; Planctomycetota; Planctomycetia; Planctomycetales; Planctomycetaceae. The record is from RNAcentral.